CGCUAACCUGCAUAAUGACAUCAGCAUACAGUUGUCUAUAUUUGUGUAGGAAAUAUAAGAUAUAAUCUACAUACCUUCACCAUUGUCUCAUGUAUUGCAGGCUUAUCAAGAUAUUCUCUAGCUUUGAGAGCUGCAUAAGGCUAAUGAUUAAAAAAAGAAAAGUGAGUCAGUAAAUGGAGAUUCUAAAGAUCAUCAUCCAAAUGCACCAAAAUUUAGAGUAAGAUCGAACCACUAUUAAUGAAGGUAUUCUACUGGGCUAGGAUGCUUGUUGUUUGGAUAUGGAGCCAUGGAAGAACUUGGACCCUUCCGUGUUAACAGUGAUGGAAAAACACUCUACCCCAACCACUAUGCAUGGAACAAUGGUGCAUGCCUAACCCUAUAAAACCUUUGCUUUUGAGGUACUAACUGUUUUCUCCUGGAAUUUUUUUUGCCUGAGAUUUUUUGCUGCCAGCUAUCCCUUCGGGACCACUCUUAUGUAUUAUGUUAAAAGCACCAAUUCAGAAAUUUGCUGAUUAUCUUUUAGGUGUUGGUGUCAAGCUUGUUGGCAAUACAGUGUGGAGUACCCUCUUUCAUCAAUUCUUAAUAGUGAUGUCACGUGAGAAAUCAUUUUUCUUUUUGUUAAACAAGUCUUUAUUAUCAUGUAUUAGGUCAUACCAUGGGUAAAAACAGCCUUGCCCCUGGUUCCGGGGUUGUCACAAAAUACUUGA
Lactuca sativa (garden lettuce) is the source of this 707-nucleotide long non-coding RNA. RefSeq lists it as uncharacterized. NCBI's taxonomy places the organism in Eukaryota, Viridiplantae, Streptophyta, Magnoliopsida, Asterales, Asteraceae. The record is from RefSeq and is a predicted model, not a curated record.